This 328-nucleotide ribosomal RNA is filed under the name uncultured low G+C Gram-positive bacterium 178ev. RNAcentral describes it as "bacterial SSU rRNA". It matches the Rfam family "Bacterial small subunit ribosomal RNA", at positions 9 to 327 of the family's 1533-position model. The record is from RNAcentral. Lineage: Bacteria; Bacillati; Bacillota.
GAGUUUGAUCCUGGCUCAGGACGAACGCUGGCGGCGUGCCUAACACAUGCAAGUCGAGCGAUGCGAUCCUUCGGGGUCAAUUAGCGGCGGACGGGUGAGUAACACGUGGGUAACCUGCCUCAAAGAGGGGAAUAGCCUCCCGAAAGGGAGAUUAAUACCGCAUAAUAUGUUUUAAUCGCAUGAUUGAGACAUCAAAGGAUUUUCUUUUAGAACUUCCACUUUGAGAUGGACCCGCGGCGCAUUAGCUAGNNGGUGAGGUAACGGCCCACCAAGGCAACGAUGCGUAGCCGACCUGAGAGGGUGAUCGGCCACAUUGGAACUGAGACAC